Molecule: long non-coding RNA, 2236 nt
Filed under: Homo sapiens (human)
Lineage: Eukaryota; Metazoa; Chordata; Mammalia; Primates; Hominidae
Description: HSALNT0357950
Source: RNAcentral
CUUUGCCAUGCUGCUGUAAGGUCCUAAAGUAGAUAAAACCUAAGUUGCAAUUCCGGUUUUCCUCAAAAUCUAAGACAUGUCACAAAAUAAUUUACUGCCUUUGUUGAUCUCGCUCCUGUAACAAGCUUCCUGCCUCACGUAUCUCCCGCCUUAAAGAGUUUAAAAGGCAAUCACCCAAAACCAACCGUGGCUACCCAUUCAAGACUGUUUCCACACUGUGGAAGCUUUGUACUUUCACUCUGCUCAAUAAAGCCUGCAGCUUUUUCUCACUCUCAGUCCAUGUCUCUUUCACUCACUGUGGUCAGCUUCCACACCAUUUCUUUGGUGUGGCUUGGCAAGAACCUCAGGUGUUACAUCUUGGCGAGCCAGACAGGAGACUCCAGAAAAGGUAUCUAGAUCAUCAUGCAGGGUGAUUUUCCUGUACCAGUCCAAUGCCUCCAGAGGAAGAUCAUACAUUUGCCAUUUUACUGCUUAGUACGCAUGCUUGAGCCUGCUCGCCCAACUGCUGAGAUCUUAUUCAGAAACUGCUGAUCACCAACUCCAGGUGUUUUUAUUACACAAGACAAAAACGGAAAAACAGUAACAAAUGAUUGGUUAAGCCUUUCAAAACAAAGAAGUUAUGCCUGGAGUGGGAGGAACAUUACACUAUACUUCUUUCUCCUCCUUCAUUAGUGAAGGUCACUGGAAUAGGUUCAUUACACUCAAGCAAAGGCCUGGGGAAAUGAUAGAAUUACCUCUGUUGACCCAGAAGAGCACCAAAAGCACCAGUGUGCAGAAAUCAGAGACCUCAAGCUAAAAGUCAUAAAAGGACAAGAACCUGGAAGUCGUCGAACUGUGGAAGCAAAAGACCUGUAAUGCUCCUGCUUGCCGAGCUGUGAGCAGUGGUAGUAAAAGAGCAGUAACAUUCUCUCCUGCUUGCCAAACAGGAGAGAAGCCACUGGCACCACUCCCUCCCACUCACUGAACUAUAGAAGAGAAAAAAUUGAAACACCAAAAUUGGGGAAAUGCGACUUUUGCGAAAAUUUGAAAGUGCAUGCUUCACAGAAGGAAGGGGGAGCUGGUCUAUUAUGUCUCACUAUAACAAGACUAAAAUUUUGCAAAUAAAUUGUUCCUGCCAUAAUUUAUCCUUGGUAGAAAUGAAGAAAUUGGAGAGAGAAAAAAUUGGAUUCUAGGUCCUGACCAUUGUUUUUGAAUUUUUAUUAUUUUCCUACAAUUUAGGCUAAAUUCUGAACUAUUUGCUGGCUACAAGAGGCCUCUAAAAAAGAGCUGGGUUUUAGUUUUCUUCAUGCUCUUUAAAAACUGGCAUAUAAUGGUGUGUAUCUCUCGUUGUUUUACUUCUAAGAAACUGAAGGCAUGAUAUUCUGAAGACUAGAGGUGAUUCAAUAGCCUAUGAAUCUUCUUCAUUUGGAACCCCACUGGGCCUGAUCUGUUUCCCAUCACCAAUGCACUUCUGCUAAACCUAUAUCCUAUCAAGUACUCUCCCUAAAUGCUCAGAGACCAUAACAGAAGAUGAGGGUGUGUGAGAUUAUAAAAGCCAAAUUAGUGGAGUGGAAUCUGGAGGCUAAAGCAACUCCAUCUUGGAUGCUAAUCUGCCAUGUUGGCUUCUGAUUAACCCCAGUUCUGGAGGGCCUCUGAGGUUUCCAAUUUAUCUACUGUCCCUUGUGUAAGAACAAGUACUUAUCAUAAAUCCUGCUAUUAGGGCAAAUUUCUACCCAUUCCCUCUGAAGCAUGUGCACCUCUCCUCUACAUGUAAUCUCCCCUACAAUAGAUAAACCCCUCUGGGUCUGGGGGCUAAUAGUGUGGGAACCCAUCAUCUUGCCUCACUGCUGCACAAGCCACAGGUGUGGCUUCUGUUUCUAAGUCCCUAUUAAAUGUUUCUAGAUACCAGAUGUAUCAACCUCUUUCUUCAGCCUCUCAGCUUCCUGGGACUUUGGGGUUGGUUUGCAUAGACCUACCCACCAAAAAACUCUCACAGAGUCAGUCUUAAAUACAUACAGAGCACGGUUGGGAAAAUUCCAUGAAUAUUUAUAGGGGAAGUCAUGUGCUUGAAAAUUGGAUAAACUUGUAUGUAACAUACAUUCCAUUUUGACCUGGGGGUGAGGUUUCAGCUGGGAUUCGACUGUUUAUGUCAAAAGGUAAACUCUAGGGCAAAAAGAAUUUGGACAUAGUCUCUGCAAGCUGACUGAAACUGGCUUAAGAUCUAUGGUCACUUAUCAAUAAAGAAUGUGAUAAAAAC